RNAcentral lists this ribosomal RNA (245 nucleotides) under uncultured bacterium. RNAcentral's name for it is "partial 16S ribosomal RNA". It matches the Rfam family "Bacterial small subunit ribosomal RNA", at positions 524 to 768 of the family's 1533-position model. The record is from RNAcentral.
UACAGAGGUGGCGAGCGUUACUCGGAUUUAUUGGGUGUAAAGGGCAGGUAGGCGUCCUGCUAAGUCUUGGGUGAAAUCCUUUCGCUUAACGAAAGAACUGCCCAAGAAACUGGCAGGAUUGAGGCUAGAAGAGGAGAACGGAAUUCCCGGUGUAAGGGUGAAAUCUGUAGAUAUCGGGAAGAACACCAGUGGCGAAAGCGGUUCUCUAGUCUAGCUCUGACGCUAAGCUGCGAAAGCUCGGGGAG